ACUCGAGUGGCGAACGGGUGAGUAACACGUGGGUGAUCUGCCCUGCACUCUGGGAUAAGCUUGGGAAACUGGGUCUAAUACCGGAUAGGAACCGUCUUUAGUGUGGUGGUUGGAAAGUUUUUUCGGUGCAAGAUGAGCUCGCGGCCUAUCAGCUUGUUGGUGGGGUAAUGGCCUACCAAGGCGCGACGGGUAGCCGGCCUGAGAGGGUGUACGGCCACAUUGGGACUGAGAUACGGCCCAG
This 241-nucleotide ribosomal RNA is filed under the name uncultured Actinomycetales bacterium. RNAcentral's name for it is "partial 16S ribosomal RNA". It matches the Rfam family "Bacterial small subunit ribosomal RNA", at positions 89 to 334 of the family's 1533-position model. Lineage: Bacteria; Bacillati; Actinomycetota; Actinomycetes; Actinomycetales. The record is from RNAcentral.